RNAcentral lists this ribosomal RNA (253 nucleotides) under uncultured bacterium. RNAcentral describes it as "partial 16S ribosomal RNA". It matches the Rfam family "Bacterial small subunit ribosomal RNA", at positions 524 to 776 of the family's 1533-position model. The record is from RNAcentral.
UACGAAGGGGGCUAGCGUUGCUCGGAAUCAUUGGGCGUAAAGCGCACGUAGGCGGCUUUUUAAGUCAGGGGUGAAAUCCUGGAGCUCAACUCCAGAACUGCCUUUGAUACUGAGAAGCUUGAGUCCGGGAGAGGUGAGUGGAACUGCGAGUGUAGAGGUGAAAUUCGUAGAUAUUCGCAAGAACACCAGUGGCGAAGGCGGUUCACUGGCCCGGUACUGACGCUGAGGUGCGAAAGCGUGGGGAGCAAACAGG